RNA transcript from Glycine soja, 1868 nucleotides. RefSeq lists it as uncharacterized. The transcript has 8 exons. The record is from RefSeq and is a predicted model, not a curated record. Lineage: Eukaryota; Viridiplantae; Streptophyta; Magnoliopsida; Fabales; Fabaceae.
UAUUUCAGUUCGUUUCACUGUGAGUGAGAUUAUAAAUUUCCGGUUCACAACCUUUCUUCUCCACCGUUUUCAAUCCUGCAAACACCCUUCAACAGUUUUUCCCCACUCGUUGCUUAUUGACACUUCUCCUUCUUCGGAAUUCACCCCUUUUCGAAAUAAUUUAUUCGUGUUUCCCUCCAAAAAAACCCUAGCUAGCUUCCAUGGCGUCCAAGAAGAAGCACUCAGAGGGCAUCGCCUUGUUGUCCAUGUACAACGACGAGGAAGACGACGAAAUGGAGGACGCAGAAGACGACGACGGCGAAGAAGAAGAAGUUGAUGCAGGGAUGCGAAUGGAAGAAGAUGUCGCCGGAGAUGCGAAAUUUUCGGCGGGGGAAGAUUCCGCCAAUAGAACAGCCGCCGUUGAUUCCGGCAACGAAGGCGGCGCGGAUGUGGGGUUCAUUCCGGCGGAGAAGAGUAGGGUUGGGACUUCGACACCGCAGACGAACAAUUUGAUCUCUCCACCGCUGGAGCAACCGAGGAUUGGUCGGAAAGGGGCUCUUACGAUAGUGGAUUAUGGGCAUGACGAAGUGGCAAUGUCACCUGAGCCUGAGGAGGGAGAGAUAUAUGGUAGCGGUAGAGUCAUGAUUGGGGACCAGCUUCAUGUGAGCAAUAGUGAUUUGCAAGACAGAUCACCAUUGGGAACAGUCCAAGUUUUGACACCUAGCAAUCAAGCUAACACUCCCCAGUUCUCUGAGCCAUUGAAAUCUGAUACCAUGAACAAAGAUGCUAUGAUCAGAUCAGAUGAUGCUGAAUUUGGAGAAGCAGAUCAAGAUGAGCAAAAAUAUGUAGAUCCAUUGGAUAAAUUUCUCCCUCCCCCAUCAAAAACUAAAUGCUCUGAGGAGUUACAAAGAAAAAUAAACAAAUUCCUGGAGUAUAAGAAGGCUGGAAAAAGUUUUAAUGCAGAAGUUCGCAACAGGAAGGACUAUCGAAACCCUGACUUCUUACUGCAUGCAGUGAGGUACCAGGAUAUUGAUCAAAUAGGGUCUUGCUUCAGUAAAGAUGUAUUUGACCCUCAUGGAUAUGAUCCAAGUGAUUUCUAUGAUGAAAUAGAAGCUGAUAUGAGGCGCGAAAGUGAGAGGAAAGAGCAAGAAAAGAAGAAAGCACAGAAGGUUGAAUUUAUUUCGGGGGGUGCACAACCGGGAAUUGUAGCUAGCGCUUCUAGGAUUAGCAUGCCCAUUGCAGGUGCUUCUGCUGUGACUGCAAGUGGUUUGCCUUUGGUGCCUCCUACAGCCGAUUCUAUUAAUCGGGAUGGUAGACAGAAUAAAAAAUCAAAAUGGGAUAAGAUAGGUGGAUGGUGAUAAAAAAAAUCCUCUGCCCUCUGCGGGGCAGGAUUCUGUAUCUACUAUUGGGGUUCAUGCAGCCAUUUUAUCUGCUGCUAAUGCCGGCGGUGGAUAUAUGCAAUUUGCGCAACAAAAACGACGGGAGGCUGAGGAGAAAAGAUCCACUGAAAGGAGGUUAGAGAGAAGGUCGUGAGCCAUUCAGUGUGGGGCUGUAGUAUCGAACAUUGCGGAUAAGCUGUGGCAGAGAUUUCUCUGAAACAUUUUGUCUGUUAAAUAACUUUGGCAAUGAUCGCAGACACUGUAUAUCUCGAACUUGAAAAGAAAUUUCCUGCUCCAACCGUGCCCUUAGCUGGAAUAAUUCUUCCAAUUCCAGUACUUGUGUCCCAUGAUAUGGUUGAUUGAUCGGUUCGUUGCUAAUGCCUAAUUUUUAUUUGAUUAUUGCUUGCAUAUUUUAUUAUGCAGCGACCUCAUCCUGUGGGAUAAGCUUUACUGCUUUAGUGCUUGCAUAUUUUAUUAGUCUAUUACCUUCAUUAUUGUCAUUAUUUCCAA